GAUGAAGAACGCAGCGAAAUGCGAUAAGUAGUGUGAAUUGCAGAAUUCAGUGAAUCAUCGAAUCUUUGAACGCACAUUGCGCCCUUUGGUAUUCCUUAGGGCAUGCCUGUUCGAGCGUCAUUUAAACCUUCAAGCUCAGCUUGGUGUUGGGUGUCUGUCCCGCCCCCCUCGGGGGCGCGGACUCGCCUCAAAUGCAUUGGCGGCCGGUAUCUUGGCUUCGAGCGCAGCAGAAACGCGAACUCGGUGCCCGGGGGUCGGCUCCCAGAAGCCAUCUUCUUAGUUUGACCUCGGAUCAGGUAGGGAUACCCGCUGAACUUAAGCAUAUCAAUAAGCGGAGGA
RNAcentral lists this unclassified non-coding RNA (339 nucleotides) under soil metagenome. Its description in RNAcentral is "partial contains 5.8S ribosomal RNA, internal transcribed spacer 2, and large subunit ribosomal RNA". The stretch from base 1 to 120 matches the Rfam family "5.8S ribosomal RNA", at positions 35 to 154 of the family's 154-position model. The record is from RNAcentral.